Molecule: microRNA precursor, 109 nt
Filed under: Marchantia polymorpha subsp. ruderalis
Lineage: Eukaryota; Viridiplantae; Streptophyta; Marchantiopsida; Marchantiales; Marchantiaceae
Source: RNAcentral
GCGGGGGUCAUAGAGCUGGGGUGCGGCAGCGCAUGUUUAGGACAGGAGCAGAAGGCCUGCUUCUGCCGUUUUCAUGCACUGCCUCUUCCCUGGCUCCUUCACUCCUCGC